This 301-nucleotide ribosomal RNA is filed under the name uncultured bacterium. RNAcentral describes it as "partial 16S ribosomal RNA". It matches the Rfam family "Bacterial small subunit ribosomal RNA", at positions 509 to 807 of the family's 1533-position model. The record is from RNAcentral.
CAGUAGCCACGGGAAUACAGAGGGUGCGAGCGUUAAUCGGAUUUACUGGGCGUAAAGCGUGCGUAGGCGGCUUUUUAAGUCGGAUGUGAAAUCCCUGAGCUUAACUUAGGAAUUGCAUUCGAUACUGGGAAGCUAGAGUAUGGGAGAGGAUGGUAGAAUUCCAGGUGUAGCGGUGAAAUGCGUAGAGAUCUGGAGGAAUACCGAUGGCGAAGGCAGCCAUCUGGCCUAAUACUGACGCUGAGGUACGAAAGCAUGGGGAGCAAACAGGAUUAGAUACCCGGGUAGUCCCUGUCUCUUAUAC